AUGUACCUGGAUGACAAUUUGCUUACUAUUUACUUUGCUCUACUGGGAGUUCAUUUCAUUUUCCAAGCUAUUUCCUUCUGUUAUUACAGGAUGUGGUUCUCCUUGCUGCAUGCUUGCAGCCCCCGCGUCCCUUUCAUCCUUCCCCUGUGCCCCGUUGCCGUGAGUUUGGAGCACCCACAGGCAGCACCAGCUUUGGGGGACAUCAUCUCCCUGUGGGCACAGUGUGACCCACGCCACCGACCGGGGAACCUCGUGCAGGACAAGAUGCCGGGGUGGAUCUGCUGCAGGCACAGCACGCUGGGGGGACACGCGCUGCCCGCACCCUGGGGACGGGUGGCACCAGGUCAGUGGUGCCAUCACAGCACAGAAACAGGAGCCACGAAAUCACUGUCCUGCUGGGAUAUUCAGGUCCCACCAUUACUGGAAGUUUUCUUGUAGUAGGACCAAUUGCACUGUCACCUCUUGGUACUUCAGCCUGAUCACCUGCAUGGGGGUCACCCCCCAUGAGCAGCUUCCAAGGUCCCUGAUGCCCCAUUUCUGUGGACUGAAGCAUUUCCUUCAGGUGAAAAAUGAGAAAAAUCCAUACAUAGAAUCUUUUACUAUUUGAAAGAUGUCUACUUCAAUGUAAUGGGGUACUGCUGUAGACCUUUAUCUCUGCCUUUUAACCUGAGAUACGUUUUCAAAAGGUCAUCAGCUCCAUGCAGCAAAGACCACUCAUUCCCCAUAGUCCAGCAAACAUCUGCUGGUGCCUUAUGCCAAGCCUUGCCCUCCUUGCUUUUCCUGCCUACACUGUCUGCACAAAAAGCCAGACUUGGAUCACUUUUUUACCAGGCAUUUUGUGACUUUUUUUUUUUUUUUACGUCUUGGGGACUUAGUAUACUUGCAGCAUAGGAGAAACUAAAAAAUACAGUUAUUAUCAGGUGGUUUUUCACAUGCAUGCAUCUUUCAGCUCCACCCACCAUUGACAAAAGCAAAGAGCGCAAGGUGCAGUGGUUCAGAAGUGCUGUGUGUAAGAAACGAUAUCCUGACUAAUCCCCUGGUGCCUCUGUUCCUUGCCGUCAGCUGUUUUACAGAGAGAUGUGUCAGCAUGAAGCCAGGUCUGGCCACUGCAGGUUGUUACAGAGCGCAUUACUUGAAAAGCCAUGCCUAUUUAAUAUAGCUUUGUAUAAGUAUGCUUAAAAUUGUGAUGUUAAACUUCUCGACUACAGUGAACAGUUAUUUGCAAUUGCUGUUCUUAUGCUGCCAAGGCAAAUUAACGCCAAGCCCCUGCUAAGGGUGCCCUGCCCAUCCCCUCAUCACAGACCAGCACGUCACAGACGGUGGAGGAGGUGCCCUGUUUCCUUGGGGUGAUGCAGCCCGGGUGCUGCAGGACGAUGGUGCGUUGGUGGAGCAGGCAAAGGCAGGGCCGUGGGCUCCUCGCCUUCCCUGGCGAGUGGCAGGGCUGUGUUUGACCAGUGCUGGUGGUAGGCAGGACUGGCAAGUCCCUACAGUGUCCUCUGGGUUUGUUUCUCUGGAUUUUUUACACUGUGAAGAACUUAAAAUGUUAAUGCCAAAUCAUAUUUAUGAAGAGAACAUUCUGUGGCUAGAAAUAAUUAUCACGGCUAUGUGUAAAACUUUCCAAUGAAAUCUGUAAAUAAGUGCAGCAAAACUCCAUAAAUUUAAUACUUAAUUUUGUGUUGAUGGCUGUAUUUGUAUGGGCGUUUUAUUUUUCAUUUGAAUAAUGUUUUAAUCUCACAUCACAUCUAUUUCCACACAUCAGUGUUUCAUUAUUCUCACUUGACCAGACUCUGGUUUUGCACAGAAUUUAGAAGUGCAGCUAGGAUCCGUCCGAGACUGAAACUAAGACCACAAACUAAUGUACAUAUCGUCCAUGUAUCAGCCUGAGUGUUAAAUGUUUGUGAGCUAUGCUUUAAAGAUAGAAACUUGUUUUAAGGACUGAGAAAUAUAGCAUGUAUAAAGUCUGACAAAAAUGAUUAUAUCACUAAAUUAAGUCUACUUCCCGCAUCACUGUUUUCACUUGGAUUGUAAAAAUUCUUGAGUCAAGACGUAUCUUCAGUUUAUGUGUGUGGUCAUAAACUUCAUGAUACCAUAAUCUCAAACCUGGGAUGAUAUAUUCAGUUGAUACCAUAACCAAAUUAAUAAAUAAGAAUUAUUUAACUCCUUGUGCUUCCUU
This 2173-nucleotide long non-coding RNA is filed under the name Anser cygnoides (Swan goose). Its description in RNAcentral is "lncRNA (ENSACDG00005000779.1)". The record is from RNAcentral. Lineage: Eukaryota; Metazoa; Chordata; Aves; Anseriformes; Anatidae.